UAAUGAAUAAUUAGGAAGUUAAUGUCACCAUGCACUGUCAUGGGAAAGGUUCUGAAAGUCUAUAAAAGAUGAAACAGGACUUUAACCUUUGAUCCUAGAGGUAAUAGGAAGCCACUGGAGCUUAUUGAACAUGGAGUACAUGAUAUGGCCAGACUUAAUCCUUAGGAAUAUUGCUUUGAUGGAAAACCUCCUCUUGUCCCAAAUAUAUGAGUCUCUGCUUCUCAAUUCAUACAGCAAAAUACAUACUGAAUAAGAAUAAAUAAAACUAAAUGCUAUUAAUAGUCACCCCAUCUCUUCCUUUCAAAGGGUAAGCAUAUCAUCCAUCAUUUUCAAGCUUUUCUUGUAUUGUAUAUAUCUCUGUCUAGU
This 366-nucleotide long non-coding RNA is filed under the name Monodelphis domestica (gray short-tailed opossum). RNAcentral's name for it is "lncRNA (ENSMODG00000051342.1)". The record is from RNAcentral. Lineage: Eukaryota; Metazoa; Chordata; Mammalia; Didelphimorphia; Didelphidae.